This 253-nucleotide ribosomal RNA is filed under the name uncultured bacterium. RNAcentral's name for it is "partial 16S ribosomal RNA". It matches the Rfam family "Bacterial small subunit ribosomal RNA", at positions 524 to 776 of the family's 1533-position model. The record is from RNAcentral.
UACAGAGUGGGCAAGCGUUGUUCGGAAUUACUGGGCGUAAAGGGCGCGUAGGCGGCCAACUAAGUCAGACGUGAAAUCCCCAGGCUCAACCUGGGAACUGCGUCUGAUACUGGAUGGCUCGAGUUCGGGAGAGGGAAGCGGAAUUCCAGGUGUAGCGGUGAAAUGCGUAGAUAUCCGGAAGAAGACCGGUGGCGAAGGCGGCCUGCUGGGCAGUUACUGACACUGAGGCGCGACAGCGUGGGGAGCAAACAGG